CCGCCUGUUAUGUAGCCGGUUUUGUAAGCGAUUGCUAUCACACAAACAGGCGAGCUUUCCGGAUUCAAGGGUGUCCAGAUACUGACAAAUAGUCCCCAGCAGCGAACUCGCACACCGAGACACACGAACACUCACCGAGAUGGUGUGACUUCUCAUUAAAGCCUGCAGCUUCGUGGCCAGGAAAAUCGCGGCCUCCAUCGCAGAGAGGGAGCAGCCGGAGAAGCCCGAUUUUUCGUCAUGUAAGCCUGCGAAAGGUGAGAAACGGGAGGGGUCGGCGUCGGAGCAGGCAGCGGCGAUGUUGACCUCUGACCCAGACAACAGCCCCGCAUCUAGAGAGACAGCCGUGCAGAAGUGCGGUUCCUGAGGUUAAAGGUCACACUGGCUGUGGAGCUGGGAAAUGGGGGGAGAGUCGGACAUCUGUGCCAACCACAAAGUACUGACCUCUGUCUGACAACAUCUGGAUAACAUCAUAGGCUUGUAGCCCUGAUCUCAUGCGAGAAUUUUAAAAUCCCACAUUAAAAAUAAAAUAAUUUCCAUGACCCAACUAAACUUUUUAUGACCCAAAUAAGGCAUAACCACCGGAACUUUCUUACACCAUGUCGGACUGUGUCACUGAAGUGGCACAGCUCCACAUGGAGAAUAAACCAUAAUGGUCAUAUACGCUGAGGAAUAAUUUGGUCCCCAACUUCAGUUCCCCCCACUUUCUCCACAGCACAUUGUGUUUAUGCCCUUUGACCUCUGUGCUAUACAGCAGUGGGUGACGGUCUUGCUCACCAACUCCUCCCUGCAGGAGAUGGGCAGGCCUGAAGGAUUCUGCUGUAGCUGAAAGAAAAACAAUAAAGCCUUUUGUCUCACGG
Long non-coding RNA from Lepisosteus oculatus (spotted gar), 857 nucleotides. RefSeq lists it as uncharacterized. The record is from RefSeq and is a predicted model, not a curated record. NCBI's taxonomy places the organism in Eukaryota, Metazoa, Chordata, Actinopteri, Semionotiformes, Lepisosteidae.